UGGGGAAUAUUGCGCAAUAGGGGAAACCCUGACGCAGCGACGCCGCGUGGGUGAUGAAGGCCUUCGGGUCGUAAAGCCCUGUAGGAGAGGAAAGAAGCACCGACAGGAACAAUACCCUGUUGGUUUGACGGUACCUCUCCAGAAAGCACCGGCUAACUCCGUGCCAGCAGCCGCGGUAAGACGGAGGGUGCUAACGUUGCUCGGAAUUACUGGGCGUAAAGCGCGUGUAGGCGGGUCGAAAAGCGAGAUGUGAAAGCCCUCGGCUUAACCGAGGAAGUGCAUUUCGAACUAUCGACCUUGAGUGCGGGAGAGGGAGGUAGAAUUCCAGGUGUAGAGGUGAAAUUCGUAGAUAUCUGGAGGAAUACCGGUGGCGAAGGCGGCCUCCUGGACCGACACUGACGCUGAGACGCGAAAGCGUGGGGAGCAAACAGG
RNAcentral lists this ribosomal RNA (432 nucleotides) under uncultured Myxococcales bacterium. RNAcentral describes it as "bacterial SSU rRNA". It matches the Rfam family "Bacterial small subunit ribosomal RNA", at positions 355 to 776 of the family's 1533-position model. The record is from RNAcentral. Lineage: Bacteria; Pseudomonadati; Myxococcota; Myxococcia; Myxococcales.